GACGAACGCUGGCGGCGUGCUUAACACAUGCAAGUCGAACGGAAAGGCCCUGCUUUUGUGGUGUGCUCGAGUGGCGAACGGGUGAGUAACACGUGAGUAACCUGCCCUUGACUUUGGGAUAACUUCAGGAAACUGGGGCUAAUACCGGAUAGGAGCUCCUGCUGCAUGGUGGGGGUUGGAAAGUUUCGGCGGUUGGGGAUGGACUCGCGGCUUAUCAGCUUGUUGGUGGGGUAGUGGCUUACCAAGGCUUUGACGGGUAGCCGGCCUGAGAGGGUGACCGGCCACAUUGGGACUGAGAUACGGCCCAGACUCCUACGGGAGGCAGCAGUGGGGAAUAUUGCACAAUGGGCGGAAGCCUGAUGCAGCAACGCCGCGUGCGGGAUGACGGCCUUCGGGUUGUAAACCGCUUUCGCCUGUGACGAAGCGUGAGUGACGGUACUGGGUAAAGAAGCACCGGCUAACUACGUG
This 468-nucleotide ribosomal RNA is filed under the name uncultured bacterium. Its description in RNAcentral is "partial 16S ribosomal RNA". It matches the Rfam family "Bacterial small subunit ribosomal RNA", at positions 28 to 507 of the family's 1533-position model. The record is from RNAcentral.